AAAUUUCUGCACAGGGCGAAAGCCUGACGGAGCAAUGCAGCGUGAGUGACGAAGGCCUCCGGGUUGUAAACUUCUGUCCUGAGGGAAGAUAGGUAUAUUUGUGAAUAAUGUAUAGUAAUGACGGUAACUAAGCAGCAAGUCGCGGCGAACUCAGGUCCAGCCGCCGCGGUAACACGUAGGGGGCGAGCGUUGUCCGGAAUCACUGGGCGUAAAGAGCACGUAGGCGGAUUAUUAAGUCAGAUGUGAAAACUCUGGGCUAAACCUAGAGACUGCAUCUGAAACUGGUAGUCUUGAGUAUAGAAGAGGAGAGUGGAAUUACUAGUGUAGCAGUGAAAUUCGUAGUUAAUAAGAGGAACACCAGUGGCGGAGGCGACUCUCUGGUCUAUAACUGACGCUGAGGUGCGAAAACGUUGGGAACAAAC
RNAcentral lists this ribosomal RNA (422 nucleotides) under uncultured bacterium. Its description in RNAcentral is "partial 16S ribosomal RNA". It matches the Rfam family "Bacterial small subunit ribosomal RNA", at positions 359 to 773 of the family's 1533-position model. The record is from RNAcentral.